Molecule: long non-coding RNA, 967 nt
Filed under: Homo sapiens (human)
Lineage: Eukaryota; Metazoa; Chordata; Mammalia; Primates; Hominidae
Description: non-protein coding OLMALINC:12
Source: RNAcentral
CCGGGGAGUCGGCCUCGGGGCUCUGCUCUCCUACCUCAGUCUGCCCUACCCUGGAAUGGGGAAAAUGCGGACAUGCCACUCAGUCCGGCCGCGAACAGUGCUCCAGAACUCAGAGAGUUUUCCAGACGGGUGGAGAUCGCGUUCCCUGCCCGCCGAGGUCCCAUCGCUUCCCUGCUGGGAAGACAAAUGAGGCGCUUUAGCCGUCUCCACGGCCAGCCCCUCCCUCAUAACCCGAGAUUCUUUGUGGGCUCUUAGUCCAUAGCUGCCUUUGAGGUGGUGUAGACCUUGCUAACCAGGACGGCCCAGUAGGCAGAGCUCAUUUUUAUUCCUGUCUGCAAUCGUGCAAAAACGCCUCUUAUGGAAAAGCCAGAGCGCCAGGAGUCAGCAAAACACACUAAAGAUUGGGCAGUCACUGGGGAGAACACUCAGCCCGCCUGCACCCAGGUGAAAUAUACAGCCUUGUUGCUCACACAAAGCCUGUUUGGUGGUUUCUUCACACGGAUGCAUGUGACAUUUGGUGCUGAAGACCCAGGACAGGAGGACUCCUUUGGGAGACCAGUGCCCUGUUGUCGCCCUCACUCCGUGAGGAGAUCCACCUAUGAUCUCAGGUCCUCAGACCAACCAGCCCAAGGAACAUCUUGCCAAUUUCAAAUCGGGUAAGUGUGUCAGGCCUCUGAGUCCAAGCUAAGCCAUCAAAUCCCCUGUGACCUGCACGUGUACAUCCAGAUGACCUGAAGCAACUGAAGAUCCACAAAAGAAGUGAAAGUAGCCUUAACUGAUGACAUUCCACCAUUGUGAUUUGUUCCUGCCCCACGCUAACUGAUACCAUAUAUUCUUCCCCCGCCCUUGAGAAUGUACUUUGUACACCUAUCCCAAACCUAUAAGAACUAAUGAUAAUCCUACCACCCUUUGCUGACUCUCUUUUUGGACUCAGCCCGCCUGCACCCAGGUGAAAUAAACAGCCCUG